AGACGCCCCGGACUCUGAAGAAGUUCUGCCCCAAUCCGUCAACUCCAACCGGUACAAAAACGCGAAGAAGCAUUACAGAGGUUGUCACCCAUUUUCCAUCCACUUGACCUCCACCUGGAACACCUAAAAAAAUUUCUCAAAUAAUUUAUGACAGGAUUGGGACCAAACAUGUCAGAAAUGUCAGCAGCCAGAAUCAGUAGGUCCAUUGGCAUCGUCAAAGAGCUAAUGGACAAAACGGACACAGAGCUGGAGCUGACAAGGCCGACUGGCAUUCAUCAUGUGGCCCGAGAACAGGAGGACGUUUUAACACUGGUAAACGUUUUCAGAGAGACACAACUUUCCCAACAAAAAUCACCCAGGCAGGCAGUAUCAUGCAUUCCCGAAUUUCAAGAGAAACUUAUUGGCAAAGCUGAAUUACCAGGAGA
Molecule: long non-coding RNA, 425 nt
Organism: Alosa sapidissima (American shad)
Lineage: Eukaryota; Metazoa; Chordata; Actinopteri; Clupeiformes; Clupeidae
Exons: 2
Source: RefSeq, a predicted model, not a curated record